This 440-nucleotide ribosomal RNA is filed under the name uncultured bacterium. Its description in RNAcentral is "partial 16S ribosomal RNA". It matches the Rfam family "Bacterial small subunit ribosomal RNA", at positions 338 to 795 of the family's 1533-position model. The record is from RNAcentral.
CCUACGGGUGGCUGCAGUGGGGGAUAUUGGACAAUGGGGGAAACCCUGAUCCAGCGAUGCCGCGUGAGGGAAGAAGGUUUUCUGAUUGUAAACCUCCGUGGAGGGGGACGAUAAUGACGGUACCCCUUUAGGAAUCCACGGCUAACUACGUUCCAGCAGCCGCGGUAAUACGCAGGUGGCGAGCGUUGUCCGGAAUGACUGGGUGUAAAGGGAGUGUAGGCGGGAAAGCAAGUCAGAAGUGAAAGCUAUGGGCUUAACCCAUAGCGUGCUUUUGAAACUGUUUGUCUUGAGUGAAGUAGAGGCAGGCGGAAUUCCUGGUGUAGCGGUGAAAUGCGUAGAUAUUAGGAAGAACACCAGUGGCGAAGGCAGCUUGCUGGGCUGUGACUGACGCUGAGGCUCGAAAGCGUGGGGAGCAAACAGGAUUAGAUACCCGAGUAGUC